GCAAGUCGAACGGUAACAGGCCCUUCGGGGUGCUGACGAGUGGCGGACGGGUGAGUAACGCGUAGGAAUCUGCCCUGAAGUGGGGGACAACCUGGGGAAACCCAGGCUAAUACCGCAUACGCCCUACGGGGGAAAGCGGGGGAUCUUCGGACCUCGCGCUUCAGGAUGAGCCUGCGUCCGAUUAGCUUGUUGGUGGGGUAAUGGCCUACCAAGGCGACGAUCGGUAGCUGGUCUGAGAGGACGAUC
Molecule: ribosomal RNA, 246 nt
Filed under: uncultured bacterium
Lineage: Bacteria
Description: partial 16S ribosomal RNA
Rfam family: Bacterial small subunit ribosomal RNA
Source: RNAcentral